AUUAAUUCAUAUUACGGGCCAUUUGGUUCGCUGUAAUGGGAAUAAUUCACUUUGUAAGUGUUUGUUUUGCAUCUUUUGUCAUUCCCAUUUUCCAUUUUUAUUUUUGGGUUUACCCAAAACAGUCCUAAACUCAUUCCCCACACCCCCAGCCUUUUGCAUUCCCAUUCCCUUCAUUACCCACGCCCCUCUCUCUCUCCUCUCAAGCCUCUCCAUUGCUCUGCUCCCUGCCACAGUCGAAGACGUUGCCGCCGCCGGUGUUCACGUUCGACUGCAGAGUUGCCGCCGCCGGUGUUCACGUCAUGACCGCCGGUGAAGCUAAGUCGAACACCGCCGCCUCUCUCUCUCUCUUCUCAAGCUUCUCAAGUCAACCCUAACGAGCUCGAAGCCGUCGCCGUCGCUACGGAGGAGGUCAGUGCGGUGUCAACAAUGGCGGAGGCGAUGCGGAGGAGAGAGAAUGAAGAGGAAUGUCGCAGUUCUUAUUUACUUUUGUUAACACGAAUAAGAUAUUACUCUUUAAUUUGUUCAUAAAUGCCUUCGUGGUGAUUGAAUUUA
Molecule: long non-coding RNA, 552 nt
Organism: Chenopodium quinoa (quinoa)
Lineage: Eukaryota; Viridiplantae; Streptophyta; Magnoliopsida; Caryophyllales; Amaranthaceae
Exons: 2
Source: RefSeq, a predicted model, not a curated record